This 440-nucleotide ribosomal RNA is filed under the name uncultured bacterium. RNAcentral's name for it is "partial 16S ribosomal RNA". It matches the Rfam family "Bacterial small subunit ribosomal RNA", at positions 338 to 795 of the family's 1533-position model. The record is from RNAcentral.
CCUACGGGAGGCAGCAGUGGGGGAUAUUGCACAAUGGGGGGAACCCUGAUGCAGCGACGCCGCGUGGGUGAAGAAGCGCCUCGGCGCGUAAAGCCCUGUCAGCAGGGAAGAAAAUGACGGUACCUGAAGAAGAAGCCCCGGCUAACUACGGGCCAGCAGCCGCGGUAAUACGUAGGGGGCAGGCGUUAUCCGGAUUUACUGGGUGUAAAGGGGGCGCAGACGGCGAUGCAAGCGAGGAGUGAAAGCCCGGGGCCCAACCCCGGGACUGCGCUUGAAACUGCGUAGCUGGAGUGCAGGAGGGGCAGGCGGAAUUCCUGGUGUAGCGGUGAAAUGCGUAGAUAUCAGGAGGAACACCGGUGGCGAAGGCGGCCUGCUGGACUGCAACUGACGUUGAGGCCCGAAAGCGUGGGGAGCGAACAGGAUUAGAUACCCGGGUAGUC